RNAcentral lists this ribosomal RNA (432 nucleotides) under uncultured bacterium. RNAcentral's name for it is "bacterial SSU rRNA". It matches the Rfam family "Bacterial small subunit ribosomal RNA", at positions 29 to 472 of the family's 1533-position model. The record is from RNAcentral.
AACGAACGCUGGCGGCGCGUCUUAAACAUGCAAGUCGAACGAUCUGUAGCAAUACAGGGAGUGGCGGACGGGUGAGGAACACGUAGGAAUCUACCUAGAAGAGCGGGACAACCUUGGGAAACCGGGGCUAAUACCGCAUAGUACAGUGAUGUUAAAGGGCUAGCAAUAGUCGCUUCUAGAUGAGCCUGCGGUCUAUCAGCUUGUUGGCGGGGUAACGGCCCACCAAGGCUACGACGGAUAGCCGGUCUGAGAGGAUGAUCGGCCACACUGGCACUGAGACACGGGCCAGACUCCUACGGGAGGCAGCAGUUAAGAAUCUUGCGCAAUGGACGAAAGUCUGACGCAGCGACGCCGCGUGAAGGAUGAAGGCUUUCGGGUUGUAAACUUCGGUAGACUGGGAAGAAAAGUAAGUUCGUUGAGGGCUUACAUUGA